RNA transcript from Ictalurus punctatus (channel catfish), 4665 nucleotides. It is a transcript of the gene named coiled-coil domain-containing protein 138, with no coding region annotated. The record is from RefSeq and is a predicted model, not a curated record. NCBI's taxonomy places the organism in Eukaryota, Metazoa, Chordata, Actinopteri, Siluriformes, Ictaluridae. The transcript has 16 exons.
GCGGGGGAAAAGACCGUUCCUGGUUUGUUUGUGUUGUUAAUAAGAGUGGCGGCCAGUUUGAACUCAGAAUGAGCAGCGAGUUUUCCGGCAGCGAUUUAGACAUAAAGGUUGAAAUAUUGAAGAGGAAGUAUUUAGAGAGGAGAAAUCGGGUUUCUGCGACUGAAGGAGCCGAAGUGAGUGAGAAAUGUGGAGGAGCUGUGGAAAAACCUACAAAGUGCUGUGCGGUCAGGGGCAGGGAGGAAGUGACAUCACGCAGAGAGCUGAAGAGCUACAGCCGAGCGCUGGAGGAGCUUUUCCAGGCCGUGUCAGAUCCACCUGCAGGGCUCGAGCGUGACGAGAGCGUUCUGAGCAGUGAAGAUGAGCUCAGUGACCAGACGGACAUCCUGGACCGUACCAACAUCCUGUGUACAGAGACGGACGUGACGCUGCCCUCCAGCGUAGCCUGCACUUCCAGCUCACUUGAGACAGAGCCGGCGAGGUUCAGCGGAGGAGAGGGUCUGAGGAGCCAGGUGCCUGUUGAACAAGUGUACCAGGAGAUGAUUGAGAUUUAUGAAAGACUGCAGGUACGGGCGGCUGAGCUGUGUGAGCGUGAAUGUGAGCUCCAGCGGAGAGAGAAGCUUCUCCUAAAGCAUCAGAGCACCGUAAACAGACUUCUCACUGUGGAGGAAGACGUACUAGAUCGCAUGAAUGCCAUGCAACAGGAACACCAGCAGGAGAUGGAGAAUCUCAGGGCUGCACUGAGAGAAAAGACCAAAGAGAACAAAAGGAUUAAAUCUAGUUUUGAUUCCAUAAAGGAGUUAAAUGACACCAUGAAGAAACAGCUGAGUGAAGUAAGUGAGCAGAACACCAGGCUGGAGAGCCAGUCACGGAAAGUUCAAGCUCGACUAGAAAACCUGCAGAGAAAGCACGAGCACUCGGUGUCGCAACGAGUGCGGGAAAACGUUGUGCUGAAGUCACGUGAUCUCAAACCAUCCAAUCAGGACAAACCCCCACCUCCCAACAAAGCUAGCAAGAGCUCGUCCAGUUCUUCAGUACUGAAGCUGCUCUGGUAUUUGAUGGACUGGAUGGUGGACGGUCCGCCUUUUUCCUCCGAAGACAUGAAAACGGAGCGCGAGUUUGACCCGUUUGAGGUUCCACGUCCCUCUCUACAUGAACGCUGCGCCAAGGUCCUUCCUGUUUUGCUGGAGCAGUUCCAGCAGGCCGAGGCGUUUCUUCACUCACCGCUCCUGCGCUUCAUCUACUGCGCCCUCACACAGCUGGAGCACAGCACACAGCACCUCCCUUUGACCUCAACGUUGAGGAGGUUAGGAGAGGAAGUGAACCGAAAAUCUCCUCCACUGUUCAGGAGCUCCUGCCCUCACACUCGCUUCUUAUCCUCCAUCAUUGUCCUCAAAACACUUAGCCAGGCGGACAUCUUGGCGCAGGCCCUCGAUGUUUUGAACGGCAUUGUUGGAGAGGAUGAGGGGCGUGGCCUCUUCCUGAAGUACAAGGCCCUGACGGCCAUUUUAGCCGUGCUGAGGACAGGAAGUCCGGGACUGCUGGCUCCUUCACUGGACGUCCUGCUUCACAUGAGCACAGAGUCACGUCAUCUUCCUGCCUUCCUGGAAGCGUGUAGCACCGAUCAGUUCUUCCGUUGUGCUGCCGUACUUCUCCGAAACCCGCGGCUGGACCUCACUGUCGCAGAGAAGCUCAGCGUUCUCCUCCAGAAACUCUCCUGCAUCAGAAAGAACCGGCGUCUGUUCGAAGCGUCCUCACUGCACCUGCUGCUCCAGGAAGCGCAGUGCUCGGCAGAUCCGUCUCGAGCCUUCCUCAACAUCAACUUCAGCUCCAUCCUGUUUAAUUUGGGCGUGGCCUCCCGUUCCUGACACGCCCACAACCUAUACAGGAGAGACAAAAAAAUCAUACACACAAUCAUAAACGUCGUGGCGUUUCUCAGCAUCGAGUCACGAAAAACACUACUGAAUGUCCUGCUUCAUUUAUACACACGCUGGAUUUAAGUGAUGGACUGAACACUCACAGACACACACACCCACACACUCACAGACACACACCCACACACUCACAGACACACACACACACACACACACACACACACACACACACACACACACACACACACUGGAGCAGCUCGUCUGUGUUUAUUUCUGUGUUCUGAUGAACAUGGUCCCCGUGUCCUCAGCCGCCUCUCUCAGACCCGUUCUUCUCCGCGUGUUGGUACUAAUCCCGGGGUUUGGUUCUUCUUGCGUUGAUCUUCAGCGACGUUUCAUUGGCCGAGGCAGAAGAGAACGCGGCGUAGGUUUGUACACUUGGCCCGCGUUUGUAAACCUGUGGUUUUCAGAGAGCUCCCUCACGUCUCGUGCGUUUUUAACCGAAUUAAAUCGUUUGCGACGGAAUCAAACUUUUUUUCUGGAGAUUAAAACAUUUAAGUCAACAAUCCUCUCAUUACUUCUCAAAUAAUGUUUUUUUAAGGAGCUGUAAACCGAGCGCAGCUGCUGCUCGUGUCGUUCAGACGGUUUGAUGGAGUUUACGGAGACUCGAGGGAAGUUGUUUUCCUGUGAAGUCAUGCGUUCAUCGAUCACUUUCUGGGUUUGGUUUUUAUUCACGCAAGCUUAACCCCUCACGAUGGAUGGAAAAUGGAGCGGUGUACACACACGGAAGAGACAAUGUGCUACUGUAGUGUAAGACACGCCCACGGGGACAGGGCCUACAGUAUCAGUUCAAGAGAACGUUUAAUCGCAUGAAAACGAGACGAGUACAGGAUGAAUCGUCAAGAAAAUGAUAAGAAUUCUGAAAGUGAAAUCAAACCUGGUGUUUGUGAGCUUUCUGUUCCUGUCUGUUAGUGUUAAAACACCGUGUUGGAGAUCUUCUCAUUUCUAUAUAUAUGUAUAGUUCUCACUUUACCUGACAGGUUUGUGCUGUUAUUAGGGGGGAUUCUGCAGGUCAGGCACGUGGUCCAUCAUGGAGAAGUUCAUCACACAGAUUUGGUUCCCUGCUCCCGUGUUAAUGUUUGGACACAAGUCUCUCCAGCAAACCAGCUGAUCUUCGCGGAGUUAUCUCCAUUACAUAACUUGGCGAUGAGCUCACGAUGUGGAUCAGGAACAAGACAAAACCCGAUAUUGUGCUGAUGUAAACCGUCGGCUGAUACGUAAACACGAGAUAUAAUUCCUCCAGAACAUCCAAACUAACUAACACAUCUGGGAGGGGUUAGUGCUCUACGUACUUAUGUUAGUUAAGCAGAAUUCUUUGUAUGAAUUUUUGGUAGAAUGACCUUUGGCUGCAAUUACAUCUGCAAGUCUUCUGGGAUAUGUCUCUGUCAGCUUUGCACAUCUGGAUCCUGAUAUUUUUGCCUAUUCUUCUUGGCAAGAUUGCUAAAGAUCUGUCAGAUUGGACGGAGACCAGUGGGAAAACGGUUAUUUUCAAUUCACGGAUUCUCAAGGGCCGUGCAUGUCACCCUCAACCCUGAACGUUUUCCCAGUCCCUGCUAACAAGAAGCAUCCCCACAACAUAACGCUACCACCACCAUGCUUCACAGUAAACAGGGUAUUCUCAGAGCGAUGGGCGGUGGUUAAGCUGUAUUCCUUUCAGUUUUUAAUAAACACUCCAGUGGUGCUCCAUGAGAUGCUUAUGGAUAUAUAUCUUUAAUCCCCAAACCCUGAUGAAGACUUUUCCAGAACGUCGUCCUGCUCUCAGUUUGUUAGCUGUUAAUUCCAAGUGCACUUUCUUCCACAGUUACUUGUUAAAGGGAAAAUUAUUCAUAAUGCUUAAGUUUUCGUUUUCAUUAUUCAGGAAGUGGACUGUGCCGGAGGACCUGACUUUACAAUGUGAAAGGAAGUUCUCGUUACGCUUUUUCGAAACAACUGGCCAGAUAAAUAAACAGAAGAGGAUUUGAUGAUUCGAUUUUGCUGAUGUGAACAUCAUGUGAGGGUUCCAAGACGAGCAGUUAGUGGUGGGGGGACGGGGUGGUUAACUGGCGUACACACUCACACUCUCUCUCUCACUCACACUCUCUCUCUCACUCACACUCUCUCUCACACACACACACACACACACACACACACACACACACACACACACACACACACACACACACACACACACACUCUGAACUCAUAGCUGAAGCAUCCAACUCAUAAGCCGAUCUGUCUGUUCUUGAGGGUAAAAUUAUUCCAAUUGGCUUUUCACGACGGUUGAUUUGUGUGUGUGUGCGGAUUUAUUUAUAAUAAUGCUUUUGUUAUUGUUAUCAAUGUUUUAAUAAAUCAGUAAUACUUUGGAAACAGAUUAAAGGUUAUAUUUCAAAGUCUGUUUCACUGUUUUCAAAAAAUCCAGCAUUAAGUGCCUCUUGAAAUACAACUGUGUUUGAUGUUGAGAUUAGAGAGUUUACUGUGCGUGUCUCUAAUACUCGUUCCAUAUUUCCGUAAUUCACAUAUACUGUGUAUACAAACUGUGUAUCCCUGAACACUCCGCUACAUGUCCAUGUGGGGUUCCUCCAGGUUCUCCAGUUUCCUCCUCCAUGUCGGUAUGUGGAUUGGCUCUAAUUUGCCCCUCUGUGUGUGUGUGUGUGUGUGUGUGUGUGUGUGUGUGUGUGUGUGUGUGUGUGUGUGUGUGUGUGUGUGUGUGUGUGUGUGUGUGUGUGUGUGUGUGUGGUGCCCUGUGAUGGACUGAUGU